Molecule: ribosomal RNA, 119 nt
Filed under: Scophthalmus maximus (turbot)
Lineage: Eukaryota; Metazoa; Chordata; Actinopteri; Pleuronectiformes; Scophthalmidae
Source: RNAcentral
AAGCACGGCCACACCGCCUGGUUCACGCCCGAUCUAGUUUGAUCUCGGAAGCUAAGAUAGGUUGGGCCUGGUUAGUACUUGGAUGGGAGACCGCCUAGGAAUACCAGGUGCUGUAAGGC